UACGGAGGGGGCGAGCGUUAUUCGGAAUUAUUGGGCGUAAAGAGCUCGUAGGCGGUGUGUCACGUCGGCCGUGAAAACCUGCAGCUUAACUGUGGGCGUGCGGUCGAUACGGGCAUCACUGGAGUUCGGCAGGGGAGACUGGAAUUCCUGGUGUAGCGGUGAAAUGCGCAGAUAUCAGGAGGAACACCGGUGGCGAAGGCGGGUCUCUGGGCCGAUACUGACGCUGAGGAGCGAAAGCGUGGGGAGCAAACAGG
This 254-nucleotide ribosomal RNA is filed under the name uncultured bacterium. RNAcentral's name for it is "partial 16S ribosomal RNA". It matches the Rfam family "Bacterial small subunit ribosomal RNA", at positions 524 to 776 of the family's 1533-position model. The record is from RNAcentral.